UCCUCACAGCAGGACGAAGAUGGAACAGAUGAGGAGGAGGGCCGGUCUUUGCGCAUUCGCGGGCGAAACCCUUCACGUCAUAAGCAAGUGGAGACCGUGCUGCUGGAGGAUCAGAUGGGGGGCACGUANGUGACCCAACGUCGCCGUUCACCUCGGCGGUCCCCCUCAGCUGGCAUGGAAGGACUCUCGCCACUAGUAUCUGAAGAGGACCUCAACACCAUUCAGCCCCUGAUCUGCUGUCCCUCCCGUCAAGGCGGGUCAGGCAAGUUCCUGAGCAAGGUGACCCGGCGCAAGGACCAGUCUCAGCGGGAGAAUUCAGAUAGCGACACGGACCAGUCAGAGACCUCNGCUAAGGACACUGGAUAAACCUAUUCCCUCGUUCCACUGUUUUCACAAGAAAGAAUAAAAAAAACCCACAUGUCUUGACUCA
This 430-nucleotide long non-coding RNA is filed under the name Salvator merianae (Argentine black and white tegu). RNAcentral describes it as "lncRNA (ENSSMRG00000001160.1)". Lineage: Eukaryota; Metazoa; Chordata; Lepidosauria; Squamata; Teiidae. The record is from RNAcentral.